GGACCUCCAAUCAGUCAAGAUUACCC
Molecule: ribosomal RNA, 26 nt
Filed under: Synura glabra
Lineage: Eukaryota; Synurophyceae; Synurales; Mallomonadaceae
Description: partial 26S ribosomal RNA
Source: RNAcentral